This 293-nucleotide ribosomal RNA is filed under the name uncultured bacterium. RNAcentral's name for it is "partial 16S ribosomal RNA". It matches the Rfam family "Bacterial small subunit ribosomal RNA", at positions 338 to 623 of the family's 1533-position model. The record is from RNAcentral.
CCUACGGGGGCAGCAGUAGGGAAUCUUCCACAAUGGACGAAAGUCUGAUGGAGCAACGCCGCGUGAGUGAAGAAGGGUUUCGGCUCGUAAAGCUCUGUUGGUAGUGAAGAAAGAUAGAGGUAGUAACUGGCCUUUAUUUGACGGUAAUUACUUAGAAAGUCACGGCUAACUACGUGCCAGCAGCCGCGGUAAUACGUAGGUGGCAAGCGUUGUCCGGAUUUAUUGGGCGUAAAGCGAGUGCAGGCGGUUCAAUAAGGCUUGUGUGAAAACCUUCGGGUCAAACGGAGAAAUUA